RNAcentral lists this ribosomal RNA (291 nucleotides) under uncultured bacterium. RNAcentral's name for it is "partial 16S ribosomal RNA". It matches the Rfam family "Archaeal small subunit ribosomal RNA", at positions 455 to 747 of the family's 1478-position model. The record is from RNAcentral.
GUGCCAGCCGCCGCGGUAAUACCGGCAGCCCAAGUGAUGGCCGAUCUUAUUGGGCCUAAAGCGUCCGUAGCUGGCCGCGCAAGUCCAUCGGAAAAUCCACCCGCCCAACGGGUGGGCGUCCGGUGGAAACUGCGUGGCUUGGGACCGGAAGGCGCGACGGGUACGUCCGGGAUAGGAGUGAAAUCCCGUAAUCCUGGACGGACCGCCGAUGGCGAAAGCACGUCGCGAAGACGGAUCCGACAGUGAGGGACGAAAGCUAGGGUCUCGAACCGGAUUAGAAACCUAGUAUCC